RNAcentral lists this ribosomal RNA (548 nucleotides) under uncultured Lactobacillus sp. RNAcentral describes it as "bacterial SSU rRNA". It matches the Rfam family "Bacterial small subunit ribosomal RNA", at positions 932 to 1475 of the family's 1533-position model. The record is from RNAcentral. Lineage: Bacteria; Bacillati; Bacillota; Bacilli; Lactobacillales; Lactobacillaceae.
GUGGAGCAUGUGGCUUAAUUCGAAGCAACGCGAAGAACCUUACCAGGUCUUGACAUCUAGUGCCAACCUAAGAGAUUAGGCGUUCCCUUCGGGGACACUAAGACAGGUGGUGCAUGGCUGUCGUCAGCUCGUGUCGUGAGAUGUUGGGUUAAGUCCCGCAACGAGCGCAACCCUUAUUAUUAGUUGCCAGCAUUAAGUUGGGCACUCUAAUGAGACUGCCGGUGACAAACCGGAGGAAGGUGGGGAUGACGUCAAGUCAUCAUGCCCCUUAUGACCUGGGCUACACACGUGCUACAAUGGGCAGUACAACGAGGAGCGAACUUGUGAAGGCAAGCGAAUCUCUGAAAGCUGUUCUCAGUUCGGACUGUAGGCUGCAACUCGCCUACACGAAGCUGGAAUCGCUAGUAAUCGCGGAUCAGCACGCCGCGGUGAAUACGUUCCCGGGCCUUGUACACACCGCCCGUCACACCAUGAGAGUUUGUAACACCCAAAGCCGGCCGGAUAACCUAGUUUACUAGGAGUCAGCCGUCUAAGGUGGGACAAAUGAU